RNAcentral lists this long non-coding RNA (578 nucleotides) under Sus scrofa (pig). Its description in RNAcentral is "lncRNA (ENSSSCG00040045543.1)". Lineage: Eukaryota; Metazoa; Chordata; Mammalia; Artiodactyla; Suidae. The record is from RNAcentral.
AUGGUGGUACCAAGAUGUGCAGAUAACCAUUUUCCACCUAAAUUUCCUGGUCUUCAGAAUGUUUCCCGCAUAAGGGUAUCACACACAUUCCCUUUUCCUGCCUCACUUCAUAAAAAGUCCCUCCAGUCGGCUGCCCUCAGCUUCCAUACUUGUCCUGUGCCUUUCCUAAACUGGGUUCCAUUUUGCUUUUCCCCAGACCACGCUCUUCCACGUUCUAUGCCUCUAACACAACACUUCGUAGUUAUUUGCUUGCAUAUUUAUCUAAUCUUCUGGUUGGUAAGUUUUCUUAAGGAGAGAGAGUCAUGCUCAUUGAUGUAUACAUCUAGACCCAUGGCAGACACUUAAAUAUGAGCUGCUUGAAGAUCACAUUUGCCUUGGCAGUAAAUCACUUCCGCAUUAGGAGCUUUCAGUUAUGGCAGACAUUGCCAGCUGUCCAAUUUACAUUUAUGCUUCUUACUAACGGAACCUGGAUUUUGUUUUGGGGAACAGUGUGCCAGCCUCAUUGAUCCAUCAUCCCUUGUGGUAUAUCUCUGUUCAAAAGACGUAGGAAUAAAUACCUGGGCUUUUCCUGUCUGGCA